AGGCGGUGUCGUUAAUAGCGGCGUCGAAAGACGUUAGCGACAGAAGAAGCACCGGCUAACUCCGUGCCAGCAGCCGCGGUAAUACGGAGGGUGCGAGCGUUAAUCGGAAUUACUCCCCGUAAAGCGCAUGCAGGUGGUUUGUUAAGUCAGAUGUGUUUGCCCGGGGCUCAACCUCGGAAUAGCAUUUGAAACUGGCAGACUAGAGUACUGUAGAGGGGGGUAGAAUUUCAGGUGUAGCGGUGAAAUGCGUAGAGAUCUGAAGGAAUACCGGUGGCGAAGGCGGCGGGCUGGACAGAUACUGACACUCAGAUGCGAAAGCGUGGGGAGCAAACAGGAUUAGAUACCCUGGUAGUCCACGCCGUAAACGAUGUCUACUUGGAGGUUGUGGCCUUGAGCCGUGGCUUUCGGAGCUAACGCGUUAAGUAGACCGCCUGGGGAGUACGGUCGCAAGAUUGGGGCUCAAAUGAAUUGACAAAAGCCCGCACAAGCG
RNAcentral lists this ribosomal RNA (490 nucleotides) under Vibrio azureus. RNAcentral's name for it is "bacterial SSU rRNA". It matches the Rfam family "Bacterial small subunit ribosomal RNA", at positions 445 to 931 of the family's 1533-position model. The record is from RNAcentral. Lineage: Bacteria; Pseudomonadati; Pseudomonadota; Gammaproteobacteria; Vibrionales; Vibrionaceae.